UACGUAGGGUGCGAGCGUUAAUCGGAAUUACUGGGCGUAAAGCGUGCGCAGGCGGUUUUGCAAGCCGGAUGUGAAAUCCCCGGGCUUAACCUGGGAAUGGCAUUUGGGACUGCAAGGCUGGAGUGCGGCAGAGGAGACUGGAAUUCCUGGUGUAGCAGUGAAAUGCGUAGAUAUCAGGAGGAACACCGAUGGCGAAGGCAGGUCUCUGGGACGGUACUGACGCUGAGACGCGAAAGCGUGGGGAGCGAACAGG
RNAcentral lists this ribosomal RNA (253 nucleotides) under uncultured bacterium. Its description in RNAcentral is "partial 16S ribosomal RNA". It matches the Rfam family "Bacterial small subunit ribosomal RNA", at positions 524 to 776 of the family's 1533-position model. The record is from RNAcentral.